CCUGUUAGCAAGGUCCGGGCAAGACCGGUGCCAGCCGCCGCGGUAACACCGGCGGCCCGAGUGGUGAUCGUGAUUAUUGGGUCUAAAGGGUCCGUAGCCGGUUUGGUCAGUCCUCCGGGAAAUCUGAUAGCUCAACUAUUAGGCUAUCGGGGGAUACUACCAGACUUGGAACCGGGAGAGGUAAGAGGUACUACAGGGGUAGGAGUGAAAUCUUGUAAUCCCUGUGGGACCACCUGUGGCGAAGGCGUCUUACCAGAACGGGUUCGACGGUGAGGGACGAAGGCUGGGGGCACGAACCGGAUUAGAUACCCGGGUAGUCCCAGCCGUAAACGAUGCUCGCUAGGUGUCAGGCAUGGCGCGACCGUGUCUGGUGCCGCAGGGAAGCCGUGAAGCGAGCCACCUGGGAAGUACGGCCGCAAGGCUGAAACUUAAAGGAAUUGGCGGGGGAGC
RNAcentral lists this ribosomal RNA (450 nucleotides) under uncultured Methanosarcina sp. Its description in RNAcentral is "bacterial SSU rRNA". It matches the Rfam family "Archaeal small subunit ribosomal RNA", at positions 428 to 877 of the family's 1478-position model. The record is from RNAcentral. Lineage: Archaea; Methanobacteriati; Methanobacteriota; Methanomicrobia; Methanosarcinales; Methanosarcinaceae.